AAAGUCUUCUCUUUCUCAGAA
RNAcentral lists this transfer RNA (21 nucleotides) under Mus terricolor (Earth-colored mouse). RNAcentral describes it as "partial tRNA-Thr". The record is from RNAcentral. Lineage: Eukaryota; Metazoa; Chordata; Mammalia; Rodentia; Muridae.